GGGGCCUCAGAAGCAGCUGGCACUCUGGGACAGGCGGGGACAAAGCCGCAGACAGUCACGGGCCUCAGCAGAAGCUGUGCCCUGGGGGCGCGUCCUGUGCGCAGAGCCUGGGGCUCCGAGCCGGCCGCGGCAUGUCUGGUCCGGGCAGCUUCCCGAGUGGCUCCUGGUCACCUCCUCACAGAUCCCUCCUCACGGGACACCUUUCACAGAUGCUUUUCAGUCUGACUCUCCCAGACUUCGUCCGUGGGAGCGCUCAGUUUUCAGUAAUCCGUGGAGAGGGCCGUGAGCGACCCACAGGUGGCACAGAAGCGGGACUGAGGCGUGGCGGCUGUCCCUGGAUGGGCAGGGGGCACCAUCUGCCAGCCGCGUCCGCCUGGGGCUCCACGGCAGGCGCAGUCCGCCCCACGCCUCCAGGAGGGACUGCGUCUCUCGAGAAGGUCCCACACAGGUGGUUUGAACAACCCUCCCGCUCGUGAUCUGGGUGCUAUGCCAGCAGAAGACGCUCUUCUGCCUAGGAAAGAAGCGUAAUCGGAAACACACGUUGCUUGAAGCUUUGGUGUCCUGGGCGUCCCAAGAGAGGCAACCGAGAGGACCCCGAACGCCGGAUCCCAACAGGGCAGCUGGCACUUGGCACCAUUGUUACUGCUCCUGGAAAAGAGCCUGGGCAGAGUGUGCGGAAGAUGAACAUCUGAGGUGCACACGUGCUCUCAGAAGAGCAGGGCAGAAUCUCGCGGCCGCCCAGUGGUCCAGGAGUGAGAGCAGGGCCAGCCCUCGGGGGGCUCAGGACUCACUUCGUCCCCCGAAGCGCGGGAGUCCUGGGGCUCUGAGAUGGUGGCUCAUGAGUCCAAGGGAAGCCGUCGUGCUGAGUCUGCUUUGGACAGUUGCCCAGGUCAGAGGGGACUCUGUUCCACGACUGAGAGCCCACAGCAUUUAGCACCAACCUCCCGCCUGUCAAGAGGGAGGCAGCCGGGAUGCCGAGGUCCGGGCCCCCCUCGCCUCUGCCUCUCCUGAGCGACACUCGCAGGGCCUCCCAGAAAAAGCAAAGGGUCCCGUUUGAGGUGGAGGAGGAAGGCUGAGGAAUGGGAGCUGAACAUGUCCUGCGACCUGGACCUCUGCCAGAGCUCCUGGCUUGCUCGCCCCCAGCGUGUGGAGGUGACCCACGGCCGCAGCAGGAGGGCACCUUGUCCCGGGCCCAGGCCUCGGGGAGGCAGGGAAGGCCUCUCUUCUGACACUGGACGGCUGAAGGAGAGUUGCAGGGCCUGCGGGGGAAAAGCAGACACAGGAGGCAAAGUGAGAACAGCAGGAGACAUGAAGCUAAUCGUGAGCAGUCUUGGGCCCGGGGCCAGUUCGGAGGACCCUCAGCGCCUGCAUUGCCCGCUGAAGGGGACAGAGAGUCAGGCCGCAGUCUGGCUGUGGCCGCGCUCCAAGGAAAACUCUUGCGAUGCACAUUGGAAUUUGGCAAAACACGGCCAAAUAUAAAGUGGUGUUUGUCGUCCACCUUAAACUCAUGUAAAUCUGAUCAUCCUACCAGUGACUUCUAAUAACCACGUUGUUCCAAAGAGACAGCAAGGCUUCAGAAAUGAGGUGAGUCCCUGUAUGGAUGAGACAUUUGGUAAGUGACUUUUGGAUUUCCUUGCGUUUGUGAUUGCCCAGCCAGAGGCCACGCUCUUCUUAACUCGUGACAUUUUGGUCUGGUUCCGUUAAACCCGGAAUAAAACAAAACCCAGCCUUUUAUCGAGGCAGGAACUCUAGCAUAUCCUGAGAUAUUCUGGGACACACAGAAUCCAUGCCCAAAUAAGUCUGGGAUGCGCAACAUGCAAUAUUUCUUAGAGACUCAGAGCACAGACCAAUCUUCUGAGGUUGAAAAUUCCUGUAGUAAGUAAGUAUAAGCCACUUUGUAUGGUGCCUGUUUCUCAAACUUCUUCAACAACAGAACACCCCUAAUGUGACACAGUAAGACCAUUCCACAAAAAGGUGUGUUUCCAGAAAGCACCCUGGGUAAUACCUUUUAUUUUCAGAUGCACUGAGUGGGAAGAACUGGGCUCAUGUCCGUUAUUCAUAAGUUGGGUUCGUGUCUGAGCGUAGGGAUUCUUACAUGCAACGGUCUCUAUAAUUUUGUAAUUCUUCACUCAAAGUUUUCACAGCGGGGAAUCGAUCCCUGUCUUCUGCCAAGUGUUUUCAUGAGAGUUAUUUGUGGUAGUUCUUAGGAAUCUACUUUCAGCUUUCGUUUAGAGACGUUUAAACCAUAUGACUAUAAGCUUCCUUUACCUUUCUACAAGAAUCACCUAUUAACUAUGGUAUGAAAGGCUUAACCCAGCCAGGGUUGAAUUGGAACGGAGCUUUGAUGUGGGCAAGGCAGCCAGCUCCAUGGAGAUCAGUCCAUUCUGUUGUAAAUUGAGAAGCUCAAGAGUCCAGGAGGAGCAUGGCCUAAAAUCUGAGGCUCACAAGAGACGCAGAAAGACAUUCAUAGGUUGUGUUAUUUGAAGAUCAAGGACGAUUUGGAUUUGGUUCAGAAAUGUUCCACAUUUCCAAAGCAGUCUUACCAGACGGAAUCAAAAUGUUUCAUUAUGAUUUUAAAAAACAAAAGUUUUAGGUGGUGGCAUACCCAGGACGUCUAAAAUUCAUUCUGCAUACUAAAGAGCUUACAACUGUCAACCCUAAAUAGAAAUCUAAGAAAUCCACCAAUAGGAAUUCAGAAAUUUCAUCAUGUUGACUUUUUGGAAUAAAUAGACCCUGUCAAGUCUCUGUCUCUCUUCCUUUUUUUAGAAGUAGCUGUAGUGUUUUGUAAUGUGGAGCUAAUUCUGAGUAGUAUAUACUGCCUGGUCUACUAGACACUGUUUAGUAUAACCUCGUUUAGCAGAAGACUCGGGUUCGGUGCCCCACCCCAGUCUGAUGGGGGACCCUCGUCCCGCUCAGCCCCCACAGAGGUGCCCAGAGUCAGGAUGACCCCUCAGCCUUGUUGUCCACAUUUUAUCUACCAAAGAUAAACAAGAAACAGGAGACCUGGACUUUUCUCCCUGUUGCCGUUUACUAGCUAUGCACAUUUGUGCAGAAACUUCCUUCUGAGCCUCACUUGCUCAUCUCAAAUGUCGGGGCAGGACUCUGCUCCUGUUCCUCAAGGGUGGGGUAAACUCAAGGGAUCUCAUGAAACUACCAUCUGACUCAGUGAACGCCAAUAUGAUUGAAUACGUUUGAUGAAAUAAAUUAGACCAAAAAUGUAAAUAUUUGAUAACUGGCUCGUAGAGUGUUUUUCAUCCCUCAAAGAAGAACGCAUGUAUUCAAAGGUUUAGCUUUUCCAGCAGAGCAUUCCAGGCUGACUCUGAGAUCCGAGGAAGUGUGCUCUGCUUCCACUGAGCUCCUCCCUGUCUCGCUUAGUCAAUGAUGACAGAAAAGGAAGAAAAUGUGUAUCUUCAACUGCUGAAAAUUCUGGCUUCCUGUUCACUCUCAGAGGAACUUGGUAUUUGGAGAUCUUUUCAGUCUCUGAAUCAUUUGACUGUGGUCAAAACUGCGCUAUGAGCCCAGAAUAAUGCAAGCAACAACACUGGUUUUAAGACUAAUAAAAUAAUGACA
Long non-coding RNA from Mirounga angustirostris (Northern elephant seal), 3570 nucleotides. RefSeq lists it as uncharacterized. The record is from RefSeq and is a predicted model, not a curated record. The transcript is spliced from 3 exons. NCBI's taxonomy places the organism in Eukaryota, Metazoa, Chordata, Mammalia, Carnivora, Phocidae.